AGCGAACGCUGGCGGCAGGCCUAACACAUGCAAGUCGAACGAACCUUUCGGGGUUAGUGGCGGACGGGUGAGUAACCCGUGGGAACGUGCCUUUAGGUUCGGAAUAACUCAGGGAAACUUGUGCUAAUACCGAAUGUGCCCUUCGGGGGAAAGAUUUAUCGCCUUUAGAGCGGCCCGCGUCUGAUUAGCUAGUUGGUUGAGGUAAUGGCUCACCAAGGCGAAGAUCAGUAGCUGGUCUGAGAGGAUGAUCAGCCACAUUGGGACUGAGACACGGCCCACACUCCUACGGGAGGCAGCAGUGGGGAAUCUUGCGCAAUGGGCGAAAGCCUGACGCAGCCAUGCCGCGUGAAUGAUGAAGGUCUUAGGAUGGUAAAAUUCUUUCACCGGGGACGAUAAUGACGGUACCCGGAGAAGAAGCCCCGGCUAACUUCGUG
This 434-nucleotide ribosomal RNA is filed under the name uncultured bacterium. RNAcentral's name for it is "partial 16S ribosomal RNA". It matches the Rfam family "Bacterial small subunit ribosomal RNA", at positions 29 to 507 of the family's 1533-position model. The record is from RNAcentral.